This 72-nucleotide transfer RNA is filed under the name Candidatus Nealsonbacteria bacterium CG08_land_8_20_14_0_20_43_11. RNAcentral describes it as "tRNA-Ile". It matches the Rfam family "tRNA". From Rfam's summary of the family: Transfer RNA (tRNA) molecules are approximately 80 nucleotides in length. Their secondary structure includes four short double-helical elements and three loops (D, anti-codon, and T loops). Lineage: Bacteria; Candidatus Nealsoniibacteriota. The record is from RNAcentral.
GGGCAUGUAGCUCAGUGGCAGAGCGGCUGUCUUAUAAACAGCAGGUCCCAGGCUCGAUCCCUGGCAUGCCCA